RNAcentral lists this unclassified non-coding RNA (336 nucleotides) under soil metagenome. RNAcentral describes it as "partial contains 5.8S ribosomal RNA, internal transcribed spacer 2, and large subunit ribosomal RNA". The stretch from base 1 to 120 matches the Rfam family "5.8S ribosomal RNA", at positions 35 to 154 of the family's 154-position model. The record is from RNAcentral.
GAUGAAGAACGUAGUGAAAUGCGAUAAGUAGUGUGAAUUGCAGAAUUCAGUGAAUCAUCGAAUCUUUGAACGCACAUUGCGCCCGCCAGUAUUCUGGCGGGCAUGCCUGUCUGAGCGUCAUUUCAACCCUCAAGCUCUGCUUGGUAUUGGGCUCCGUCCUCCUCGGACGCGCCUCAAAGACCUCGGCGGUGGCGUCUUGCCUCAAGCGUAGUAGAAACACCUCGCUUUGGAGUGCAUGGCGUCGCCCGCCGGACGAAACCUUUUGUAUUUUCUCAAGGUUGACCUCGGAUCAGGUAGGGAUACCCGCUGAACUUAAGCAUAUCAAUAAGCGGAGGA